Molecule: ribosomal RNA, 492 nt
Filed under: uncultured bacterium
Lineage: Bacteria
Description: partial 16S ribosomal RNA
Rfam family: Bacterial small subunit ribosomal RNA
Source: RNAcentral
AGUGAACGCUAGCGGUAGGCCUAACACAUGCAAGUCGAACGGCAGCACAGUAAGAGCUUGCUCUUACGGGUGGCGAGUGGCGGACGGGUGAGGAAUACAUCGGAAUCUACUUUUUCGUGGGGGAUAACGUAGGGAAACUUACGCUAAUACCGCAUACGACCUACGGGUGAAAGCAGGGGAUCUUCGGACCUUGCGCGAUUGAAUGAGCCGAUGUCGGAUUAGCUAGUUGGCGGGGUAAAGGCCCACCAAGGCGACGAUGCGUAGCUGGUCUGAGAGGAUGAUCAGCCACACUGGAACUGAGACACGGUCCAGACUCCUACGGGAGGCAGCAGUGGGGAAUAUUGGACAAUGGGCGCAAGCCUGAUCCAGCCAUACCGCGUGGGUGAAGAAGGCCUUCGGGUUGUAGAGCCCUUCUGUUGGGAAAGAAAAGCAGCAGGUUAAUACCCCGCUGUUCUGACGGUACCCAAAGAAUAGGCACCGGCUAACUUCGUG